Molecule: transfer RNA, 71 nt
Filed under: Ectobius sp. Z254C
Lineage: Eukaryota; Metazoa; Arthropoda; Insecta; Blattodea; Ectobiidae
Description: tRNA-Val
Source: RNAcentral
CAAGUUAAUCCUGUUAGUAGGAAUUUUUAUUUACAUUGAAAUAUAUUAUUGUGCAAUUCAAUAUAACUUGA